UGUCCCGUUCGUCUAGUUUGGCCUAGGACAUCGGCCCUUCACGCCGACGACAGGAGUUCAAAUCUCCUACGGGACGU
Molecule: transfer RNA, 77 nt
Filed under: Deferribacterales bacterium
Lineage: Bacteria; Pseudomonadati; Deferribacterota; Deferribacteres; Deferribacterales
Also listed under: 1 other name
Description: tRNA-Glu
Rfam family: tRNA
About the family: Transfer RNA (tRNA) molecules are approximately 80 nucleotides in length. Their secondary structure includes four short double-helical elements and three loops (D, anti-codon, and T loops).
Source: RNAcentral